RNAcentral lists this transfer RNA (83 nucleotides) under Canis lupus familiaris (dog). It matches the Rfam family "tRNA". From Rfam's summary of the family: Transfer RNA (tRNA) molecules are approximately 80 nucleotides in length. Their secondary structure includes four short double-helical elements and three loops (D, anti-codon, and T loops). RNAcentral also lists the same sequence under 1 other name. Lineage: Eukaryota; Metazoa; Chordata; Mammalia; Carnivora; Canidae. The record is from Rfam by way of RNAcentral.
GCCCAGUUAGCUUAGUGGUUUAGCGCCUGUCUUUGGCCCAGGGCGUGAUCCUGGAGUCCUGGGAUCGAGUCCCACAUUGGGCU